Molecule: long non-coding RNA, 1053 nt
Organism: Sciurus carolinensis (gray squirrel)
Lineage: Eukaryota; Metazoa; Chordata; Mammalia; Rodentia; Sciuridae
Exons: 5
Source: RefSeq, a predicted model, not a curated record
CUCACAAAAGACAGAGCCGAUCUCAAGGGCCUGGGAAAAUAGAAAAUUUUCACACUGUGAUGGGAAACACUGUCAAGAACUGAGACUCCAGUGAAACAUCAGGCACUAGUGUGUGGUCACAGAGACAGUGAGGGAACUGGGUUGGGAGAAAGAACAGCCUAAAAAUUAACACAGAGAGGUAAGCGGGAAUGACAAUAUUUAAGAAGCAACCAAGAUCAAGUCACUCUUCGGGGACUGCACAGCCAGUUUUCUUGUCAUUUGCCACCUCUGGCCCAGGAGAUGCUGGUGGGAUGGCCAAAAGAUGGAAAGCAGAAGGGUGGAAGGUGCAAAUGGAGUGAUCCAGUUUCUGCCUCUUGCGUGCACUUAUGCCACGAUGCCAUCUGCCAAGAACCCUUCACUGAGUCAACUGAUGCUGGCACCUUUGGACCUCUGAAACUAAUAUUAGCACCGGAAGGGACCUGCAACAAGAUAGAGAUUCAUCAUGUCUGACAGACGAGGAAACUAUAAUCCCAAAAAGGUCUUGUGGUCCGAGAGAGUUUCCUCCCAAGCAAGUUCCAGGAUCUCAGCAAGCAACUUGGACUUCAGUUCCUUAAUCUGAAGUUUACCAUCUCUGUCAAUCAUUCGUUUUUCCUCUAAGGAUCUUCAUGUCUUUAGAAACAUUGCUUCUUUAGAUAGCAUUGUAUUAUUUUCUCCUUUGUGUUCUUUUAUACCACAUAUUUUUUUUUUUCCAUCCCAUUUAUAUCUUUGUUUUAUCCAUUCCAAAAAAAGUACACCAGAGACAGCUUUUAUCUCCUUGUACAUUAUGUCUGCCUUUUAAAAAAUUCACAGUACAAUAUUGCAUAUGUGUAAAUAAAUUAUUGUAAUAAAACCUUCCACAUAUUUGUUUACUUGUGAUAUUUGAUUUAGUUGGUUUCAUAUCAAGAAGUCCUACCAUAUUUCUCUAAUCCUUUUUAAUGAAAUCUAAAAUGGUUUUCCAUAUUUCUUUGUAUUCAUGUAAAUUAUUUGGUGCUUUAUAAAUUGUAAGAUUUUUAUUGUUCUGCCCAACUGCUCUCA